Long non-coding RNA from Amphiprion ocellaris (clown anemonefish), 1249 nucleotides. RefSeq lists it as uncharacterized. The transcript has 3 exons. NCBI's taxonomy places the organism in Eukaryota, Metazoa, Chordata, Actinopteri, Pomacentridae. The record is from RefSeq and is a predicted model, not a curated record.
GACCCAUUACCACCACUUAUUCGAAUAUGGCUGCAAGACUAAAAAAUAAAAAUAAAAAAAUCUAAUUUACUGAAAUAUUUUUUAUUAAAUUAUGUUGACAUAAUCACUGUUCCCUCUAAGCUGCGCGCGUGCGCAAUUGCGCACUGCUGACACGGUCUCCACGCACAGAAAAUCUGCGCUGCGCACAAAAAAAAAAAAAAUCCAACCUAAAUUGUAAAUAAAAUAAACACGUAACAAUUCAUUCUGUGCUAUUUUUCAAUGUGAGUCAGUGAGUGACCGGUGACUGGCUGCUGCAGCCAAUGAUGCGAUUCACAUACGUAUUUACCAUAGACUGUAUAUAAUGGUAUUUACGCAGCUAAUCAGGCGUCCUUAUGUGCAGCCAUCGUUGUUCUCAUAGAUAUGAAUGAGUAGAUAGGACACGCCCCUUUGAGCUGCGUGCUACAGCGAGGCUAAGCUAGUGGGGGAAAAGUUUCAGUGCAUUCCGUUGAUGUAGACGGAAACAACAAGUAUGCCGGCUCACUGUGCUGCAUACAGUUACACACUACGUCGUACGAUUGAGACAAGGAAACUUGGAAUGACUUUUCAUAGGUUUCCCAGAGACUAUGGGUUGAGGAGGAAUUGGAAGUUUGUCGGCUUAGACCUGGUGUCAUUCCAUCAGUGUUAAACUUCCCGGCUCAUCUUGGAAGAGUACGUGCCAGAAAGACCACGACCAAGCAGCCUUGAGAUCUUAGGCAGCAUCUCCCUGAGGUCCCUCUCUAUCUCCCCACACAUCCACCAACCACUGGAACACAUCUCCAAAGUUCUGCUGGACCAGCUCAGCUUCCCCUCAGAAGAAGUGCCUGCCACCUGCCAGAUGAAGGAGCCUUUUGAGAGGCAGCUGGCAUCGUGAUUAGACUGUACUUUGGUCUGUUCCAAUCCAGCUUCAGCUCCAGAGACGGCAGGCGGGACGAGUCAACGGAGGCCGGAUGGACGAAGGCAUGCAGCUGAGUACAAUCCAGAAAACAACAGAGGAGGAGUACAGCAGCCCAGGGCCAGAAGAAGCAGAGUAGCAUCGUAUGUCUCUUAGAAAACAUCAUAGUAUAGCCUUUGGUAUGAAAAACACCAUCAUAUACAUCGUAUAUUGUACAAAUAACAAGUCAAAGGAAAGAGACAUACAUUGUAGAAUUGUAGUAAUUGUGGGCUGACUGAUUUACUGAUUAUCAGUAUUUUAUUUUUUACUGAUUUACGGUAAUAAAUACAUUUAAAAAUG